GGGCGCAAGCCNUGAUGCAGCGACGCCGCGUGAGGGAUGGAGGCCUUCGGGUUGUAAACCUCUUUUAUCGGGGAGCAAGCGAGAGUGAGUUUACCCGUUGAAUAAGCACCGGCUAACUACGUGCCAGCAGCCGCGGUAAUACGUAGGGUGCAAGCGUUAUCCGGAAUUAUUGGGCGUAAAGGGCUCGUAGGCGGUUCGUCGCGUCCGGUGUGAAAGUCCAUCGCUUAACGGUGGAUCCGCGCCGGGUACGGGCGGGCUUGAGUGCGGUAGGGGAGACUGGAAUUCCCGGUGUAACGGUGGAAUGUGUAGAUAUCGGGAAGAACACC
Molecule: ribosomal RNA, 326 nt
Filed under: uncultured bacterium
Lineage: Bacteria
Description: bacterial SSU rRNA
Rfam family: Bacterial small subunit ribosomal RNA
Source: RNAcentral